RNAcentral lists this ribosomal RNA (498 nucleotides) under uncultured bacterium. RNAcentral's name for it is "partial 16S ribosomal RNA". It matches the Rfam family "Bacterial small subunit ribosomal RNA", at positions 30 to 523 of the family's 1533-position model. The record is from RNAcentral.
AUUGAACGCUGGCGGCAUGCCUUACACAUGCAAGUCGAACGGUAACAGGUCUUCGGAUGCUGACGAGUGGCGAACGGGUGAGUAAUACAUCGGAACGUGCCUAGUAGUGGGGGAUAACUACUCGAAAGAGUGGCUAAUACCGCAUGAGAUCUACGGAUGAAAGCAGGGGAUGGCAAGACCUUUGCCUACUAGAGCGGCCGAUGGCAGAUUAGGUAGUUGGUGGGAUAAAAGCUUACCAAGCCGACGAUCUGUAGCUGGUCUGAGAGGACGAUCAGCCACACUGGGACUGAGACACGGCCCAGACUCCUACGGGAGGCAGCAGUGGGGAAUUUUGGACAAUGGGCGCAAGCCUGAUCCAGCAAUGCCGCGUGCAGGAUGAAGGCCUUCGGGUUGUAAACUGCUUUUGUACGGAACGAAAAGCCCUGGGUUAAUACCCUGGGGUCAUGACGGUACCGUAAGAAUAAGCACCGGCUAACUACGUGCCAGCAGCCGCCGUAA